Molecule: ribosomal RNA, 419 nt
Filed under: uncultured Methanolinea sp.
Lineage: Archaea; Methanobacteriati; Methanobacteriota; Methanomicrobia; Methanomicrobiales; Methanoregulaceae
Description: bacterial SSU rRNA
Rfam family: Archaeal small subunit ribosomal RNA
Source: RNAcentral
GGGCAGCUCACCGGAUAAGACAGCUGGAUGAUAGCCGGGCUGAAGACUCUGCUUGACUAGCUGAGAGGAGGUGCAUGGCCGUCGUCAGUUCGUACUGUGAAGCAUCCUGUUAAGUCAGGCAACGAGCGAGACCCACGCCAACAGUUGCCAGCAUGUCCUCCGGGAUGAUGGGGACACUGUUGGGACCGCCUCUGCUAAAGAGGAGGAAGGAAUGGGCAACGGUAGGUCAGCAUGCCCCGAAUUAUCCGGGCUACACGCGGGCUACAAUGGUCAGGACAAUGGGUAUCGACACCGAGAGGUGGAGGCAAUCUCCUAAACCUGUCCUUAGUUCGGAUUGUGGGCUGCAACUCGCCCACAUGAAGCUGGAAUCCGUAGUAAUCGCGUUUCAAAAUAGCGCGGUGAAUAUGUCCCUGCUCCUU